This 120-nucleotide ribosomal RNA is filed under the name uncultured bacterium. Its description in RNAcentral is "partial 16S ribosomal RNA". It matches the Rfam family "Bacterial small subunit ribosomal RNA", at positions 796 to 914 of the family's 1533-position model. The record is from RNAcentral.
CUGGCCGUAAACGAUGGGUACUAGGUGUAGGAGGUAUCGACCCCUUCUGUGCCGGAGUUAACGCAAUAAGUACCCCGCCUGGGGAGUACGGCCGCAAGGUUGAAACUCAAAGGAAUUGAC